UGGUGGAAGGUGAUGUAGAUACCGUUGAAGUUGUAGUAGAUGGCACAGAGGUCGUUGUUGGAGUUUCUGUCACAGAAGUCGUUGAAAUUGUUGUAGAUACCGUUGAACUUGUAGUAGAUGGAACAGAGGUCGUUGUUGGGGUUUCUGUCACAGUCGUGCUGGAAGGUGUUGUAGAUACCGUUGAAGUUGUGGUCGAUGAAACAGAGGUCGUUGUUGGAGUUUCUGUCACAGUAGUGGUGGAAGGUGUUGUAGAUACUGUUGCAGUUGUAGUCGAUUCAACAAAGGUUGUUGUAGGAGUUUCUGUCACAGUAGUGGUGGAAGGUGUUGAAGAUACCGUUGAAGUUGUAGUAGAUGGAACAGAUGUCGUUGUUGGAGUUUCUGUCACAGAAGUCGUUGAAAGUGUUGUAGAUACCGUUGCACUUGUAGUAGAUGGAACAGAGGUCGUUGGUGGGGUUU
Dreissena polymorpha is the source of this 456-nucleotide long non-coding RNA. RefSeq lists it as uncharacterized. Lineage: Eukaryota; Metazoa; Mollusca; Bivalvia; Myida; Dreissenidae. The record is from RefSeq and is a predicted model, not a curated record. The transcript has 4 exons.